GCAAAAAGAGCCUCAGCAGAGUUAAGACAGAACAUGGGUUUCCUGACUCCUGUUUUUUGCCUUCUGCUGCUCUGGUGCCCAGCCACCAGUGGGAGCGUUGCCCUGACACAGUCCCCAGCCUUCCUGAGUGUGACUCCAGGUGAGAGUGUCUCCAUCAGCUGCAGGGCCAGUGCCAGUAUUAGUGAUGAUUUAAACUGGUAUCAGAAGAAACCAGGCGAGUCUCCUAAAAUUCUCAUUAAUGAUGCUAAUAACCGAUAUGCCGGUGUCUCUGAUCGCUUCAUUGGCAUAUACAGUGGGACAGAAUUCACUUUUAAAAUCAGCAGGGUAGAAGCUGGAGACGCUGGCACCUAUUACUGUCAGCAAGACUAUGCACUCCCUAUCACAGUGUUACAGCCCUGUACAUAAACCAGCUGCCCUGGC
This is a non-coding RNA of Cavia porcellus (domestic guinea pig), 420 nucleotides long. Lineage: Eukaryota; Metazoa; Chordata; Mammalia; Rodentia; Caviidae. The record is from the annotation of a RefSeq genome assembly.